This 216-nucleotide ribosomal RNA is filed under the name Clostridioides difficile. RNAcentral's name for it is "partial 16S ribosomal RNA". It matches the Rfam family "Bacterial small subunit ribosomal RNA", at positions 1316 to 1531 of the family's 1533-position model. The record is from RNAcentral. Lineage: Bacteria; Bacillati; Bacillota; Clostridia; Peptostreptococcales; Peptostreptococcaceae.
CUACAUGAAGCUGGAGUUACUAGUAAUCGCAGAUCAGAAUGCUGCGGUGAAUGCGUUCCCGGGUCUUGUACACACCGCCCGUCACACCCCGGGAGUUGGAGACGCCCGAAGCCGAUUAUCUAACCUUGUGGAAGAAGUCGUCGAAGGUGGAAUCAAUAACUGGGGUGAAGUCGUAACAAGGUAGCCGUAUCGGAAGGUGCGGCUGGAUCACCUCCU